Pseudophryne corroboree (corroboree frog) is the source of this 603-nucleotide long non-coding RNA. RefSeq lists it as uncharacterized. The record is from RefSeq and is a predicted model, not a curated record. Lineage: Eukaryota; Metazoa; Chordata; Amphibia; Anura; Myobatrachidae. The transcript is spliced from 3 exons.
UUGGAGCCAGGGUGCCAGUACGAGUCAUCUCAGAGCUCUGGAGCAGGGAGGGAACUCUUGCGCUAGCCUGCCAAGGGAGAAUGGUGGGGCCGCAGUGGAUGCCAUAAUGCCCACACAAUGCCCAGGAGAGAGAAAGAGGAAGAGCCAUGAGAGGCCAAAUAAAAGGAGAGGGAGAGACUCAAAGGAAUAGGAAACACUCACCCACUUGGAAGACCAGAAUGAACAGGCACCACAGUAGGAAGGUGAGGAAGACAGUAAAGAAAAAAAAUCGGGUGGCACACCAACCUCCUCUCUUCCUGCUGCCCGGAGCUAUGGACACCUGAGUACCUCCUAAAGGCCUUGGAAAGACCUACUACAAAAGACAUGUUACCAAGACAAUAGUCUAAACCUCUGGGAGAUGAAGGGCCAGAAGGUCUGCUGAGUUCAAGAAUAUCAUCUCAUCUGUUUGACUAAUGAUGGCUUCAUAAUUACUGUAUAGACCAUGCACUCAAGAAAAACAGGAUAUGCCUUGUUUGACGGCCUUAUCACAGAGCAAAACUAAGUAAAAUUGUCCAAAUCUUCCAGAGCUGUUACGUAGACUGCAAAUAAAUUGAUUUAACAAUU